This 433-nucleotide ribosomal RNA is filed under the name uncultured bacterium. RNAcentral describes it as "partial 16S ribosomal RNA". It matches the Rfam family "Bacterial small subunit ribosomal RNA", at positions 29 to 507 of the family's 1533-position model. The record is from RNAcentral.
AACGAACGCUGGCGGCAGGCCUAACACAUGCAAGUCGAGCGGACCUUUCGGGGUCAGCGGCGGACGGGUGAGUAACGCGUGGGAAUAUGCCCUUCUCUACGGAAUAGUCCUGGGAAACUGGGGGUAAUACCGUAUACGCCCUUUGGGGGAAAGAUUUAUCGGGGAAGGAGUAGCCCGCGUUGGAUUAGGUAGUUGGUGGGGUAAUGGCCUACCAAGCCGACGAUCCAUAGCUGGUUUGAGAGGAUGAUCAGCCACACUGGGACUGAGACACGGCCCAGACUCCUACGGGAGGCAGCAGUGGGGAAUCUUAGACAAUGGGGGCAACCCUGAUCUAGCCAUGCCGCGUGAGUGAUGAAGGCCUUAGGGUUGUAAAGCUCUUUCAGCUGGGAAGAUAAUGACGGUACCAGCAGAAGAAGCCCCGGCUAACUCCGUG